This 196-nucleotide ribosomal RNA is filed under the name uncultured Pseudoalteromonas sp. RNAcentral describes it as "partial 16S ribosomal RNA". It matches the Rfam family "Bacterial small subunit ribosomal RNA", at positions 335 to 524 of the family's 1533-position model. Lineage: Bacteria; Pseudomonadati; Pseudomonadota; Gammaproteobacteria; Alteromonadales; Pseudoalteromonadaceae. The record is from RNAcentral.
GGCCUACGGGAGGCAGCAGUGGGGAAUAUUGGACAAUGGGGGAAACCCUGAUCCAGCCAUGCCGCGUGUGUGAAGAAGGCCUUCGGGUUGUAAAGCACUUUCAGUCAGGAGGAAAGGUUAGUAGUUAAUACCUGCUAGCUGUGACGUUACUGACAGAAGAAGCACCGGCUAACUCCGUGCCAGCAGCCGCGGUAAU